This is a long non-coding RNA of Nannospalax galili (Upper Galilee mountains blind mole rat), 991 nucleotides long. RefSeq lists it as uncharacterized. The transcript has 4 exons. The record is from RefSeq and is a predicted model, not a curated record. NCBI's taxonomy places the organism in Eukaryota, Metazoa, Chordata, Mammalia, Rodentia, Spalacidae.
UUAGCUUGUUCUCAGCCUGAAGCAUUUACUUGAGCGCUCACUGCAAGACAACUCCGCUGGCAGCACGGCUGAUCAGGUUUUCCUUGCUUGGUCUUGUUUUUAAAUCUGGAUAUGUCUUGAUUUCCACAUUCGUUUUGUACAGAAUCCGUUCCCCCCGACGCUCUCUGCCCACCUUUGCCUUGUCUUCAUAUAAACUGGUUUGUCUUCAAAGAAAAUGCAGGUUGAGAUCCUGAUGGCUUCAAGAAGAGGAAAUGCCUCUAACAACUUCUGUCCCUCAGGCUUCUGGCAGAGCAGAGAAUACUAUAGGCUUCUGGGGACAGUACUGGCAAAUCUCCGAGUCACAUCUAACACUGACACGGAGUGAUGGUGCACUUCUGAGUGACCCCCCACUUCAGGAGCUUGGUACUCAGUGGGUGAGUUGUACAGAAGUCCCGAGUCUCCUCAAUGUGUCAUCACACCAUCAUGAACACUUGAAGUCCUAGAAUUCUCUGUGGUGCGUGCCUGUCCUGGAGCCUCCAUCCCAUGAGGUGGAGAUGAGACAGGAAAGAACUCCUGCCUUUCACCCACACUUGUGUGAAAGAGCCGCAGCUGCAGGUAACAGGGAAAGGGCCACCAACUGGGAGCCAAGUGUCCAAAUGCAUGGGAACACUUCACAUUAAACCAUCACCAAGCUCCACAGUAACAGAAGAUGAGGCUCAUCUGUUUUCAUUUAGUGCUCUUUGAAUUUGUUCCAAAAGAACUUCUUCAGCCAUGAACUUGAAUAUCACAUAAUUAGUGAGGCAUCCAACUGACAGAGUCCAGUCUGGACAGCUGAUAUGAAGCAUAAGCAUCUGUUAGCUUAAAAUCUCCUGACAAGGACCACGAGAAAGUACGAACCAGCAUCCCCUCCUUCCAAACGUAAGACGCUAGACUUGGGAACAGAAAGCUGGCUCUUGCUGUACACAGCUGGUACUAACUCUAGAUGUUUGCUGAAAUAAAACGGGUGACUCAA